CGCGGUAUUUUGACCGUGCGAAGGUAGCAUAAUCAUUAGUCUUUUAAUUGAAGGCUUGUAUGAAGGGUUAGACGAGAAAUUAGCUGUCUUUAUUAAAAAAAUGGAAUUUAACUUUUAAGUGAGAGGGCUUAAAUGUUCUAAAGGGACGAUAAGACCCUAUAAAGUUUGAUAUUUAAUUUUUUAAAAAAUAAGAUAAAUAGAUAAAGUUAAUUAGAAAAAAGAUGUUUUGUUGGGGCGACAAGAAUAUAAUUUAUAUAACUGUUUUUAUAUYAAUACAAUAAUGAUUGAAUUAGUGAACCUUUAUAAAGGUAAYAGAGUAAAUUACUUUAGGGAUAACAGCGUAAUUUUUUUUGAGAGUUCUUAUCGACAAAAAAGUUUGCGACCUCGAUGUUGAAUUAAAGGUUCUUUGUAACGUAGAAGUUACAUGAGRRGGUCUGUUCGACCUUUAA
Molecule: ribosomal RNA, 449 nt
Filed under: Gramastacus sp. MBS-2007
Lineage: Eukaryota; Metazoa; Arthropoda; Malacostraca; Decapoda; Parastacidae
Description: partial 16S large subunit ribosomal RNA
Rfam family: Archaeal large subunit ribosomal RNA
Source: RNAcentral